This 1209-nucleotide unclassified non-coding RNA is filed under the name Stegodyphus dumicola. Its description in RNAcentral is "probable bifunctional dTTP/UTP pyrophosphatase/methyltransferase protein, transcript variant X2". Lineage: Eukaryota; Metazoa; Arthropoda; Arachnida; Araneae; Eresidae. The record is from RNAcentral.
UUUCAGAAUGAAAAGCAAGAAAUGAAAUCUAAUGAAAUUAUUUGAGAUCAUAUUAACAGUUUUAAGGAUACUGUUGCGAAAUAUUUAGCUGACAUAUCCUAAAAUUGCCGCAAAUAUCAAGCUAACUGAAAGAUCGCCAGGACGCCCCAUCUUCGAAUUUCUAGGCAGCGACAAAUGAUUUUGAAUUUUUAAAUCGUGUUCGGCAACAAUAGCGAAGCCCGGUAAACUUACGAAUUACUGAAACAGUGAUAAAAAAUAUUUAAACGAGUAAUAGUGCAGUUACUAAUUAUUAUCGUUGAUUCUGCAGUUAGGAGAGAACAUAAUCAUGAUUCAGCCUUUUUUGUCUCAUCUGGCAUUUCACCGUAGCAUUGUUUUAGCAAGUAAAUCUCCUCGAAGAAAGAGAGUUCUAGAGGAACUUAAACUUGUCUUUGAAGCAGUUCCUUCACCAGUUCCACAGUAUUUCAACUUAGAAGACUUUUCCUCGCCUGGUGAUCUUGUGAUGCAAUCUGCUAAAGGAAAGGCUUUAACUGUUACUGAAUUUAUUAAUGCACACGAUUAUCAUGCAGAUUUAGUUAUUGGUGCUGAUACUGUUGUUAUAUUGGAAGGAGAAGUUUUUGACUUGCCUACAAAUAAAGCAGAUGGACGUCGAAUGAUAGAGAGACUGAAUGGGAAAACUCAUGAAGUUUUCUCUGGUGCUGCACUUGUUCUUCCUAGAUAUGAAAAUGGUGUUAAGAAUCAUCAAAUUGAGACAUUUUAUGAGACAGCAAAGGUAACUUUCGGAAGCCUUCCUCCUGAUGUAAUAGAGGCUUAUUUUGAAAAUCCAAAACCAUGAAAGCUUCAUUAACUUCUCUUCACAGCAGUGUGGAGUAUAAGUGCAUUUUUAGCAUUGUUCAAAAAUUUAUAUGUCAAAUGCAAAUUUUAAAAAUAUCAGUCCUGCUCCUCUAUAACAACAUGAACUCUUAAGAAUAUCAUGACUGUCAACAGUAAGCAUCCAAGUCGAAAAUAUCAAUGCUGUGAAGCUGGAUUUUUCUUAUUCCUUUAUAACAAAAGCAAAUUCAGCCACUCUGAGGCCAAUGUUGGUGGAUAUGCUAUAGAACGCCUAGGAGGCACCUUAAUUGAAAGUAUUGAAGGAAAUUAUUAUACUGUUGUUGGGUUUCCUGUGCAUAAAUUCUGUAAGGAAAUCUAUAGGAUGUGCUCUGAGGGCCUACU